RNAcentral lists this ribosomal RNA (481 nucleotides) under uncultured bacterium. RNAcentral's name for it is "bacterial SSU rRNA". It matches the Rfam family "Bacterial small subunit ribosomal RNA", at positions 30 to 507 of the family's 1533-position model. The record is from RNAcentral.
AUUGAACGCUGGCGGAAUGCUUUACACAUGCAAGUCGAACGGCAGCACGGGGCAACCUGGUGGCGAGUGGCGAACGGGUGAGUAAUAUAUCGGAACGUGCCCAAUCGUGGGGAUAACGUAGCGAAAGUUACGCUAAUACCGCAUACGAUCUACGGAUGAAAGCGGGGGAUCGCAAGACCUCGCGCGAAUGGAGCGGCCGAUAUCAGAUUAGGUAGUUGGUGGGGUAAAGGCUCACCAAGCCAACGAUCUGUAGCUGGUCUGAGAGGACGACCAGCCACACUGGAACUGAGACACGGUCCAGACUCCUACGGGAGGCAGCAGUGGGGAAUUUUGGACAAUGGGCGCAAGCCUGAUCCAGCCAUUCCGCGUGCAGGAUGAAGGCCUUCGGGUUGUAAACUGCUUUUGUACGGAACGAAACGGUCUGCCCUAAUACGGCGGGCUAAUGACGGUACCGUAAGAAUAAGCACCGGCUAACUACGUG